This 644-nucleotide ribosomal RNA is filed under the name uncultured Bacilli bacterium. RNAcentral describes it as "bacterial SSU rRNA". It matches the Rfam family "Bacterial small subunit ribosomal RNA", at positions 125 to 757 of the family's 1533-position model. Lineage: Bacteria; Bacillati; Bacillota; Bacilli. The record is from RNAcentral.
CCUGCCCAAGAGACUGGGAUAACACCUGGAAACAGAUGCUAAUACCGGAUAACAACACUAGACGCAUGUCUAGAGUUUAAAAGAUGGUUCUGCUAUCACUCUUGGAUGGACCUGCGGUGCAUUAGCUAGUUGGUAAGGUAACGGCUUACCAAGGCAAUGAUGCAUAGCCGAGUUGAGAGACUGAUCGGCCACAUUGGGACUGAGACACGGCCCAAACUCCUACGGGAGGCAGCAGUAGGGAAUCUUCCACAAUGGACGCAAGUCUGAUGGAGCAACGCCGCGUGAGUGAAGAAGGGUUUCGGCUCGUAAAGCUCUGUUGGUAGUGAAGAAAGAUAGAGGUAGUAACUGGCCUUUAUUUGACGGUAAUUACUUAGAAAGUCACGGCUAACUACGUGCCAGCAGCCGCGGUAAUACGUAGGUGGCAAGCGUUGUCCGGAUUUAUUGGGCGUAAAGCGAGUGCAGGCGGUUCAAUAAGUCUGAUGUGAAAGCCUUCGGCUCAACCGGAGAAUUGCAUCAGAAACUGUUGAACUUGAGUGCAGAAGAGGAGAGUGGACUCCAUGUGUAGCGGUGGAAUGCGUAGAUAUAUGGAAGAACACCAGUGGCGAAGGCGGCUCUCUGGUCUGCAACUGACGCUGAGGCUCGAA